CAAAGGCUUGGUCCUGACUUUACUAACAGCUUUAGCCAAAUUUACACAUGCAAGUAUCCGCACCCCCGUGAGAAUGCCCUAUAUGCCCCGCCCGGGAAUUAGGAGCCGGUAUCAGGCACACCUUUGUAGCCCAUAACGCCUUGCUUAGCCACACCCUCAAGGGAACUCAGCAGUGAUAAACAUUAAGCCAUAAGUGAAAACUUGACUUAGUUACGGCUUAGAGGGCCGGUAAAACUUUUGCCACCCCGGCCGUUUAUAUGAGAGGGUCAAAGUUUUAGCCCCCGGGGGUAAGAGUGGUUAAAAUUUCUACACCAAAUACACUGAGGCCGAAGGGGUUUUUACCCUUUGGGGGGGAUAAAAACAAAAUUAGGAGAGGGGCCCCACGAAAGUAGCCUCAUCUUAUUUGAACCCACGAAAGCUAGGACACAAACUGGGAUUAGAUACCCCACUAUGCCUAAGCCCUAAACAAUGAUAAUCUUCUACAUCUCAUAUCCGCCUGGGUACUACGAGCACUAGCUUAAAACCCAAAGGACUUGGCGGUGCUUUAAACCCACCUAGAGGAGCCUGUUCUAUAACCGAUAACCCCCGUUAAACCUCACCCCUUUUUGUUCAACCCGCCUAUAUACCACCGUCGUCAGCCUACCCUAUGAAGGAUAAACAGUAAGCAAAGUUGGCACAGCCCAAAACGUCAGGUCGAGGUGUAGCGCAUGAAGGGGAAAGAAAUGGGCUACAUUCUCUUCUCAGAGAACUACGAAUGACACAAUGAAAUACAAGUCUGAAGGAGGAUUUAGCAGUAAGUAAAGAAACAGAGUGUCUUACUGAAACCGGCCAUAAAGCGCGCACACACCGCCCGUCACUCUCCCCCAACUUAACCAGCUAAUAAUUAAUACAACAUAAUACAUAAGGGGAGGCAAGUCGUAACAUGGUAAGUGUACCGGAAGGUGCACUUGGAAAAAU
RNAcentral lists this non-coding RNA (957 nucleotides) under Carinotetraodon travancoricus. RNAcentral describes it as "12S ribosomal RNA". It matches the Rfam family "Bacterial small subunit ribosomal RNA". The record is from RNAcentral. Lineage: Eukaryota; Metazoa; Chordata; Actinopteri; Tetraodontiformes; Tetraodontidae.